GACAGCUUGGUGCCACAUGGCAGAGGAACCAGGAUAAAAAAAAAUGAGCCGGACUUGUGGAUUGUAGAGUGCGCGGCGAAACAGCCGGGGAGAAGUUUGCGGAGCGGUGACACCGAGAUCCUCUGGCUGCACUGAGUCGCUGCAGGGGAGGACGGACAGACGGAGGGACAGACGGAGGGACACCGGGGUUGCAGCCACUCAGGGGCACCUGUGGGGUGAGCACCAGCUGCGGAGCAUCCUGUCCCCUCUGCGCCAGCCAUGUCCCUGGGGGUGAAGGAGAAGAACCACGUCCGGUUGGUCUUCUUGGGAGCUGCCGGCGUGGGCAAGACAUCCCUCAUCCGCCGCUUCCUGAUGGACACCUUCGAGCCCAAGCACCGGCGCACGGUGGAGGAGCUGCACAGCAAGGAGUACGAGGUGUGCGGGGCCACGGUCAAGGUGGAAAUCCUGGACACCAGCGGCAGCUACUCCUUCCCGGCCAUGAGGAAGCUCUCGAUCCAGAACAGCGACGCCUUCGCCCUGGUCUACGCCGUGGAUGACGCCGAGUCCUUCGAGAGCGUGAAGAGCCUGCGGGAAGAGAUCCUGGAGGUGAAGGAGGACAAGUUCCCCCCCAUCGUGGUGGUCGGCAACAAGGCGGAGAGCGGCGGCGAGCGGCAGGUGCCGGUGGAGGACGCCCUGUCGCUGGUGGAGCUGGACUGGAACAGCCGCUUCGUGGAGACGUCGGCCAAGGACAACGAGAACGUCCUGGAGGUGUUCAGGGAGCUGCUGCAGCAAGCCAACCUGCCCAGCCGGCUCAGCCCUGCGCUCUGCAAGAGGAGGGAGACCCUGCCCAAGGAGCAGGCGCUCAGGCCGCCCAUGAACAAGACCAACAGCUGCUCCAUGUGCUGAGCCGGCCGCCCUGGGGCCGGGAGGA
Molecule: RNA transcript, 910 nt
Organism: Neopelma chrysocephalum (saffron-crested tyrant-manakin)
Lineage: Eukaryota; Metazoa; Chordata; Aves; Passeriformes; Pipridae
Gene name: GTP-binding protein Rhes pseudogene
Exons: 1
Source: RefSeq, a predicted model, not a curated record